Molecule: ribosomal RNA, 1254 nt
Filed under: metagenome
Description: bacterial LSU rRNA
Rfam family: Bacterial large subunit ribosomal RNA
Source: RNAcentral
UACACGACCGUACCGCAAACCGACACUGGUGCGCGAGAUGAGUAUUCUAAGGCGCUUGAGAGAACUCAGGAGAAGGAACUCGGCAAAUUGACACCGUAACUUCGGAAGAAGGUGUGCCUUUAGUAGGUGAACCAUUUACUUGGGGAGCCCAAUGAGGCUGCAAAAAAUCGGUGGCUGCAACUGUUUAUUAAAAACACAGCACUCUGCUAAGACGAAAGUCGACGUAUAGGGUGUGACGCCUGCCCGGUGCUGGAAGAUUAAAUGAUGGGGUGCAAGCUCUUGAUUGAAGUCCCAGUAAACGGCGGCCGUAACAAUAACGGUCCUAAGGUAGCGAAAUUCCUUGUCGGGUAAGUUCCGACCUGCACGAAUGGCGUAAUGAUGGCCACACUGUCUCCUCCUGAGACUCAGCGAAGUUGAAAUGUUUGUGAUGAUGCAAUCUCCCCGCGGAAAGAAAAAGACCCCAUGAACCUUUACUGUAGCUUUGUAUUGGACUUUGAACAGAUCUGUGUAGGAUAGGUGGGAGGCUUUGAAGUGUGGUCGCUAGAUCGCAUGGAGCCAACGUUGAAAUACCACCCUGGUGUGUUUGAGGUUCUAACCUAGGUCCAUUAUCUGGAUCGGGGACAGUGCAUGGUAGGCAGUUUGACUGGGGCGGUCUCCUCCCAAAGUGUAACGGAGGAGUUCGAAGGUACGCUAGGUACGGUCGGACAUCGUGCUAAUAGUGCAAUGGCAUAAGCGUGCUUAACUGCGAGACUGACAAGUCGAGCAGAUGCGAAAGCAGGACAUAGUGAUCCGGUGGUUCUGUAUGGAAGGGCCAUCGCUCAACGGAUAAAAGGUACUCUGGGGAUAACAGGCUGAUACCGCCCAAGAGUUCAUAUCGACGGCGGUGUUUGGCACCUCGAUGUCGGCUCAUCUCAUCCUGGGGCUGUAGCCGGUCCCAAGGGUAUGGCUGUUCGCCAUUUAAAGAGGUACGUGAGCUGGGUUUAAAACGUCGUGAGACAGUUUGGUCCCUAUCUUCCGUGGGCGCUGCAGAUUUGAGGAAGCCUGCUCCUAGUACGAGAGGACCGGAGUGGACGAACCUCUGGUGUAUCGGUUGUCACGCCAGUGGCAUUGCCGAGUAGCUAAGUUCGGAAGAGAUAACCGCUGAAAGCAUCUAAGCGGGAAACUCGUUUCAAGAUUAGAUCUGCCGGGGCCUUGAGCCCCCUAAAGAGUCGUUCAAGACCAGGACGUUGAUAGGCCAGGUGUGGAAGCUAAAAG